Molecule: long non-coding RNA, 241 nt
Filed under: Elaeis guineensis (African oil palm)
Lineage: Eukaryota; Viridiplantae; Streptophyta; Magnoliopsida; Arecales; Arecaceae
Description: long non-coding RNA (EGUI_LNC006084)
Source: RNAcentral
CGGUCAGAUUUCUUCAAGAACCUAACUCCAUCCUCUCAGAACUUCCUCUAAACUUCUGACUCUCCUUUCUUAGGACCCUCACAACCCUUGUUAGGACUAGAUGAUGCAUUGUCUUAAAUCCUAAAGCCUUGUCCUAAAACUAAGAUAGGUUGUAAGAAAGAAAGGAGAGCAACGGAGACCAAAUUGAAAACUCUUUCUGAAUACAUCGGACACCUAUCACCUUGGCCAAUUUAUAGCCACC